Molecule: long non-coding RNA, 606 nt
Organism: Thalassophryne amazonica
Lineage: Eukaryota; Metazoa; Chordata; Actinopteri; Batrachoidiformes; Batrachoididae
Exons: 3
Source: RefSeq, a predicted model, not a curated record
AUAGUCCUUGCCUUCCUGAGACAACAACUUGUAUACAGUUCCUCUAAUGAAGGCAAGAGACAACCAGUGAUCUUCUGGGCUGUGGUGACGACCCACUGGAGAGCUGUCCUGUCUGUGACUGUGCAGCUGAAAAACCACACACAGACAGUAGGUCAAAAUGCUCUCUAUGGAGCAGCGAUAGAAGGACACCAGCAGUCUCUGUGGCAGAUGGUUAUUCCUGAGAACCCUCAGGAAAUAGAGUCUCUGUUAUGCCUUCUUGAUGGUAGCCAUAGUAUUUGUGCUCCAAGUCAGGUCAUCUCUCAAAUACACACCCAGAAAACGAAAUUCAGAGACCCACUCCACACAGUCCCCAUCCAUGACCAGUGGCUGGAUGACUGUUUUCCUCCUUCUAUAGUCCACCACAAUCUCCUUUGUCUUUGAGGUGUUGAGGAUCAAAUUGUUCUCCCUACACCAGACCGACAACCGCUGCACCUCCUCUCUAUAGGCGGACUCAUCCUCACCAGAAAUGAGUCCCACCACAGUAGUAUCAUCAGCAAACUUAAUAAUAUUGUUGCUGAAGUGAGAGGGGGUGCAGUCAUAGGUUAAGUUUAUAUUUAUUUCCAGUUU